Otolemur garnettii (small-eared galago) is the source of this 312-nucleotide unclassified non-coding RNA. Its record names the gene 7SK. It matches the Rfam family "7SK RNA". From Rfam's summary of the family: 7SK was discovered as an abundant small nuclear RNA in the mid-70s but a possible function has only recently been suggested. NCBI's taxonomy places the organism in Eukaryota, Metazoa, Chordata, Mammalia, Primates, Galagidae. The record is from Ensembl.
GGAUGUGAGGGCUAUCUGGCUGUGACAUCUGUCACCCCAUUGGUUGUCAGGGUUGAUUCAGCUGAUCUGGCUGGUUUGGCGGGUGUCCCCUUCCUUCCUCACCACUCCAUGUGCAUCCCUCUAGAAGCUUUGUGGUGAGUCAAAGAGGAUGACCUUCCCCAACAGCAGAGGACUGUUCUUUGGUCAAGGGUAUACAAGUAGCUGUGCUGUGCUCCCCUGCUAGAACUUCUAAAUAAGCUGUCAAAUGGCUAACACACUCAGGAAAAGAUGCCCCACAUCACUAAUCACCAGAGUAAUGCAAAUCAAAGCUAC